This 462-nucleotide ribosomal RNA is filed under the name uncultured bacterium. RNAcentral describes it as "partial 16S ribosomal RNA". It matches the Rfam family "Bacterial small subunit ribosomal RNA", at positions 29 to 523 of the family's 1533-position model. The record is from RNAcentral.
AACGAACGCUGGCGGCACGCCUAACACAUGCAAGUCGAACGAAGCAUAAGAGCUUGCUCUUAUGACUGAGUGGCGCACGGGUGAGUAACACGUGGGAAUCUGCCUAUUGGUGGGGAAUAACUUUUGGAAACGAAAGCUAAUACCGCAUAAGCCCUAAGGGGGAAAGAUUUAUCGCCAAUAGAUGAGCCCGCGCUAGAUCAGCUAGUUGGUGAGGUAAGAGCUCACCAAGGCUACGAUCUAUAGCUGGUCUGAGAGGAUGGUCAGCCACACUGGGACUGACACACGGCCCAGACUCCUCCGGGAGGCAGCAGUGGGGAAUAUUGGACAAUGGGGGAAACCCUGAUCCAGCGAGGCCGCGUGAGUGAAGAAGGCCUUCGGGUUGUAAAGCUCUCUCAGAGGGGAUGAUAAUGACGGUACCCUCAGAAGAAGCACCGGCUAACUUCGUGCCAGCCGCCGCCGUAA